Molecule: RNA transcript, 1407 nt
Organism: Gossypium arboreum
Lineage: Eukaryota; Viridiplantae; Streptophyta; Magnoliopsida; Malvales; Malvaceae
Exons: 1
Source: RefSeq, a predicted model, not a curated record
AGGCAAUCCCCCCCUUCUCCUUUUUGCUGCAGCUUUUUUAACUGAGUAGUGCUAGAGUAGUAAAGGCAGCAGCAAGAUGGAAGUGCCCUUUUUCCCAACCCUUUUCUCCUGUAUCAAAGACUUGGUGGUGCAACAAGCCUUGUUCUCAACCUUGGAGGAUUGGCUAGUGAAGCAUCCCAAAAUCCUCCAGUUUUCAUGGGAAAAUGGCCAAACACCAGCUUCUCUUAUCGCUUCCUCACCCUCACUGUCUUGUCUUACAUCUCUUUCACCUUCGUUCUCUCCCAACUAUCUCGCCCUUCACUUUCACGUCCACUCUUCAAAUCAAUCACAGCCGUCGACAACAUCUUCCUCCUUACCCUUUCUUUCACCAUGGCCCUGGGUUGCCUCGCUUCCAACUUCUCCCAGGUGCCUAACUUCAAGAACCUCGUUUGCUUCCCUAGGGGUACAUCCCCAUCGGGCCCUCUCUUUUUCUGGGCAUACAUCUUCUACCUCUCCAAGAUUGUUGAAUUCAUAGACACCCUUUUGAUCAUCCUCAGUGGAUCCAUGAAGAGGCUAUCCUUCAUUCAUGUCUACCAUCACUCCAUGGUGGUCAUCAUGUGUUAUAUUUGCUUAGAAAGUGCUCAGUCCUCCGUACCCAUGGUGCUGGUCACCAACUGCGUGGUGCAUGUCGUAAUGUACACAUAUUACCUGUUGUGCACCCUGGGGAUGCACCCCAAGUGGAAGAAAAUAGUGACGGAUUUUCAACUAGUGCAGUUCCGGUUAAGCUUUUUGAUCAUGGCCGUGGUUGUGUUCUACCACUUCACUGCUUCUGGCUGCUCUGGGAUUCUGAGUUGGUGUUUCAAUGGAGCCUUCAUUGUCUCUCUUCUCUACUUGUUCUCAACUUUCAUGCCAAGAGUUACUCCACCAAUGCCAACGUCUUCAAGGGUAACUAAUAAUUAAUUAAACCGCAUCUUUUUUCUUUUUUUUUUCCAUUUCUUUUCCUUUGUUAUAUAUAGUAAUUGUUUCAGAGUGAUUCAGUUCAAGCUCAUGAAUCUGGUAUAGAAUCUUAAUUGUGAAAGCUGGUAUUGUCUAAUCAAGUAGGAUGGAGUUCAUGUUCCAUUUAUUUUAUUGAUUGAAUGAAGUAGGAUAAAACAUUUGUAUACCUCUUUCCAUGGGUUUUGUGAGUUGAGCCUUAUUGCUUGAUAGCUGAAAUUCGAGGGAGGGUUUUAUUUGGUGAAUGCUUCGGAGUUUCCGAUAUUCUAUGGUCGAGUUUUAUUAUCACUUUAGCUGGUAUUUCAAGUUAACUUUGUGUUUGAUUUAUAAGGAUGAUCUCUUAAGUCUUCGACUUUGCUUGUAUUUUCAUCUUUGGAAGGGCAGAUUUGAGCUGCUAUCCUUUUAUCAAUAAAUUCACUAUAACUUAUUCAAAAA